RNAcentral lists this ribosomal RNA (538 nucleotides) under Clostridioides difficile. Its description in RNAcentral is "bacterial SSU rRNA". It matches the Rfam family "Bacterial small subunit ribosomal RNA", at positions 281 to 841 of the family's 1533-position model. Lineage: Bacteria; Bacillati; Bacillota; Clostridia; Peptostreptococcales; Peptostreptococcaceae. The record is from RNAcentral.
CAGUAGCCGACCUGAGAGGGUGAUCGGCCACAUUGGAACUGAGACACGGUCCAAACUCCUACGGGAGGCAGCAGUGGGGAAUAUUGCACAAUGGGCGAAAGCCUGAUGCAGCAACGCCGCGUGAGUGAUGAAGGCCUUCGGGUCGUAAAACUCUGUCCUCAAGGAAGAUAAUGACGGUACUUGAGGAGGAAGCCCCGGCUAACUACGUGCCAGCAGCCGCGGUAAUACGUAGGGGGCUAGCGUUAUCCGGAUUUACUGGGCGUAAAGGGUGCGUAGGCGGUCUUUCAAGUCAGGAGUGAAAGGCUACGGCUCAACCGUAGUAAGCUCUUGAAACUGGGAGACUUGAGUGCAGGAGAGGAGAGUGGAAUUCCUAGUGUAGCGGUGAAAUGCGUAGAUAUUAGGAGGAACACCAGUUGCGAAGGCGGCUCUCUGGACUGUAACGGACGCUGAGGCACGAAAGCGUGGGGAGCAAACAGGAUUAGAUACCCUGGUAGUCCACGCUGUAAACGAUGAGUACUAGGUGUCGGGGGUUACCCCC